Brassica rapa (field mustard) is the source of this 1153-nucleotide long non-coding RNA. RefSeq lists it as uncharacterized. The record is from RefSeq and is a predicted model, not a curated record. Lineage: Eukaryota; Viridiplantae; Streptophyta; Magnoliopsida; Brassicales; Brassicaceae.
GCGGCGACGGCGACGGCGACGAUCGAGUUUCCUUGCUGUCUCGAAACGGAUUGCGGUAUGGAUUCUGUGUUUAAUCCCAUUAAAAACAUUGACGAUUGAGCUUCCUCAUGGUUUAUGAAACGGAUUGCGUCGGUAAGGCGGUGAGCUUUUUGGUAUAAAUAUGUCAGCAUUUCUCUUCUGAAAAUCGUGUUCUCUUCAUUCAUCUUCUAUUCAUAAGGCGUGGGAAGGUUUCACGACGGCCUCAAACGCUGAUCUGAUCGCUGAGCAGCAGAUUUGGGCUGCGGUUGAUCCUUAUGCCAAGAACGAAUGUUGUUUUGUCUUCUGUUAUUGUUGUUUCAGAAUGAAUGUUGUAUGCCGCCAGAAAUUAUAAACCAUUUGAUUCUUGAUUUUCUCAAUACAUGCUAGAUUGAAGCCUGUGUGUCUGUAUAUUUUUGUUCUAACUUUCCUAAAGAGUUUCUGAUUCAGAAAAUGAAGACUUUAAAGAGUACAAGGAGCAUGCUGAUAAUUUCAUGAAGAGUACCAACCUUCUCCAAGACGAGAUUUAAACACCUUCUAGCUUCUUUAUAAGCAUCUAUCUCCUCUCGGUGGGCAUCCAUGACCAAAUCUGCAGAUGCUACUCAAACGCUGAACUUAGAUUGAACUCACGCUGAAAUCAUUCCACAGUCGUACAUAUACGUGCAUGUCGCAGAUAUACAGACUCUCCAAUGAGACUAGAGCUUAACAUUUCUAUACCAGGAUCUAUGCAGAGCAUAUAACCCAAGUAGAUAUAAGAGAGAUUGAAAGAUAGAAAAUUACUUAACUAGCUGAAACUUGAUUCUUGGCUGAAGUUUUUUGGUUAAUUGUGGCUAAAUGCUUAGAUGAACUUUCUAAUUAUUAUCAUUUUUUUCUGAAACUUAUGGGUUCUAAAUCACGGUUACAUUUCAGGCUUGGAAGAUUGGGUACAUAUAAGUCCGAGAAGCUAAGAACUAUGGACCUACUUAACAUGUGAUCUACUUUUAUGCAACACAACAAGUUGAACAUCAGAGUGGUUUGGAACAACUUUUGCAUUAUGUGGUUUUUUUUUAUCAGCGUAUUAUGUGGUUUUAUGUUUUAAUAUUUUUGGUUCAAGAUGAAGUUUCAGUAAACUACUAAUAAAUUAAUACUCUGUAGAAUU